Molecule: ribosomal RNA, 1369 nt
Filed under: Dichorragia nesimachus
Lineage: Eukaryota; Metazoa; Arthropoda; Insecta; Lepidoptera; Nymphalidae
Description: 16S ribosomal RNA
Source: RNAcentral
GGGGUAAAAUUAAUAAAUAAAUAAUAAUAAAAAAAUUUUUAAAAUAAAAAUAUUAUAAUGGGGGUUAAAGUAUUUUUAAUAAAAAAAAUUAAAAAAUUUAUAGGUAAUUAUUAUUGUAAAAGAAUUUUGAAAUAAAAUGAAAAUAAAUUUAUAUUAAAGUAAAUUUUGUUUAUUGUAUCUUGUGUAUCAGAGUUUAUUAAAUUAAAAUUUUAAAUAAAAUAAUCUCGAAUUUAAAAGAGUUAAUUAAUUAAGAAAGUUAAUGUUGAAUAAUUAUUUUAAAUAAUUAAUUAGAAAUGAAAUGUUAAUCGUUUUUAAAAAUAUCUAGUUUUUUUAGAAAAAAAUUUAAUUUUGAAUUAAAAUAAUUUAUUUAUUUAUUGAUUUAAUAAAUAAAAUUUAAAAUUUAAUAGUUUGGGGGAUAAGCUUUAAAUUAAAAUUUUAUAAUUUAUAUUAUUUAAAUAAAUUAAAAUUUUUAAAAUUUAUAUUGUUUAUAAAUUAUAAUUUAUUAUAAAAAAAUUUUAAUUAUAAUAAAAUUUAAAAUUAAUUUAAAUUUUUAUAAAAAAAUUAAUUUAAAUAAAAUAAAUUAAGUUAUAAUGAUAAAAUUAGUAUAUUAAUUAAAAUAAUUUAAUAUUAAUUUAAAAUUAAAUUAAAUUAAAGGAAUUCGGCAAAAAUUUAUAUUCACUUGUUUAUCAAAAACAUGUCUUUUUGAUAAUAAUUAAAAGUCUAAUCUGCCCACUGAUAAUUAUAUUAAAGGGCUGCAGUAUAUUGACUGUACAAAGGUAGCAUAAUCAUUAGUCUUUUAAAUGGAGACUUGAAUGAAAGAUUUGAUGAAAUAUAAGCUGUCUCUAAUUUAUUUAUAAAAUUUAAUAUUUUAGUUAAAAAGCUAAAAUAAAUUUAAAAGACGAGAAGACCCUAUAGAGUUUUAUAAUUUAAUUAAUUAAAAUAAUUUAUUAAUUUUAAUAUUAAAAUUAAUUAAAUUAUUUUAUUGGGGUGAUAAAAAAAUUUAAUUAACUUUUUGUAAAAAUUAACAUAAAUAAGUGAUUGAGUGAUCCAUUAAUAAUAAUGAUUAUAAGAUAAAAUUACCUUAGGGAUAACAGCGUAAUGUUUUUUUUUAGUACAAAUAAAAAAAAAAGAUUGCGACCUCGAUGUUGGAUUAAGAUAAAAAUUAAAUGCAAAAGUUUAAAGUUUUGAUCUGUUCGAUCAUUAAAAUCUUACAUGAUCUGAGUUCAAACCGGUGUAAGCCAGGUUGGUUUCUAUCUUUAAAUAGUAUGAAUAUUUUAGUACGAAAGGAUCAAAUAUUAAAAAUAAUUUUAUUUUAAUUGAAUAUUAUUAAUAAAAUUAUAUAUAUAUAUAUAUAUAUAUAUUAUGUAUA